RNAcentral lists this ribosomal RNA (468 nucleotides) under uncultured bacterium. Its description in RNAcentral is "partial 16S ribosomal RNA". It matches the Rfam family "Bacterial small subunit ribosomal RNA", at positions 28 to 507 of the family's 1533-position model. The record is from RNAcentral.
GACGAACGCUGGCGGCGUGCUUAACACAUGCAAGUCGAACGGAAAGGCCCUGCUUUUGUGGGGUGCUCGAGUGGCGAACGGGUGAGUAACACGUGAGUAACCUGCCCUUGACUUUGGGAUAACUUCAGGAAACUGGGGCUAAUACCGGAUAGGAGCUCCUGCUGCAUGGUGGGGGUUGGAAAGUUUCGGCGGUUGGGGAUGGACUCGCGGCUUAUCAGCUUGUUGGUGGGGUAGUGGCUUACCAAGGCUUUGACGGGUAGCCGGCCUGAGAGGGUGACCGGCCACAUUGGGACUGAGAUACGGCCCAGACUCCUACGGGAGGCAGCAGUGAGGAAUAUUGCACAAUGGGCGGAAGCCUGAUGCAGCAACGCCGCGUGCGGGAUGACGGCCUUCGGGUUGUAAACCGCUUUCGACUGUGACGAAGCGUGAGUGACGGUAAUGGGUAAAGAAGCACCGGCUAACUACGUG